This 2776-nucleotide unclassified non-coding RNA is filed under the name Dimorphilus gyrociliatus. RNAcentral's name for it is "dgyrCDS1885". The record is from RNAcentral. Lineage: Eukaryota; Metazoa; Annelida; Polychaeta; Dinophilidae.
AGUCACGUGACGUCAUUGACAACCGUCAAUCGCAAUCGGAAAAGAACGUUCUGGUGCGUUAAGCGUUGGUUUUUCAAGCAAGAAAAAAUCUUUUAGGUUAAUCGACUUUUUGAAAUUAGCCUCAAAAUUUAGUUUUUCUCACUAUUACUAAAAUUGUUUGAAAAUCAGAGUGUUUGUAAAUAUUUUAUAUUGGAAUAGUUGCCGUCAAAAGCAGUAAUAAUAUUAGCACAGGUAAGAUUAAAGUUAGUAAUAUUUUUUAGUAUUAUCAUACUGCUUUAAUUAUAUCUAUUCUUAUUGUUAUGUCUCUAAGUAUUCGAGCUUUUUCUCUCUCUCUUUAAUUUGUAAUACUUUGUUUAUAGUUAAAAAAAGGAUGUUUGCACUUUUAUACUUUUCUAAAAUGAGAGCAUAUUUAAAAAUCAAUUAACAUAUCAUGCCUUCGAUAAUCCCCUUGUAAAAGUGUUUUUUAAAGUAUAGUAUUCACGAAACUUGAACUAUCAGCCUAGGUUCUCUACAUUCCCUUACAAUCGAACAGAUUUACUCAGUACCGAUCAGCUGAAUAGCUUGUGUUUGCACAGAAAAUAAACAACUUUAAUAGUAUUGUUCGUGUUUGUCUUCUUGCAGUAGAAGCCGUCAAAAAUUUGCAUUGUUUUAUUGAAAAUACUCAAAAUUAAUGGAUAGUAUUAUCUGUUUUCUUUACAAUGAUAAGAAAUUUUUACCGCAUACGAGCUGAAUUUAUCGCUACUUAAUCAUUGAAAUACUUACUUAUAAUUGAGAUAAUUCAACAAAGAUAUUUGAAUUUUUCGAUAAUCAAUUAUUCCAUAUGAGGUCUACAAAGUACAGUCCAUUGAGGAAUAUUUAAUAAGAUAUACUUAUUAAAAAAACAACGUUAUUACCCUAUAGAAACGACUGGAGGAACGGGAGGGUAAGUGUGUAUUAAAAGGGCUGGUGAAAGGCGAUAUGAGUCCUUGUAGAAGAAAAGGUCUGCUAGAAAAGAAAACAACUUAUGCAUAUUUAUUGAAAACCAUUUUUGUAUAAUCAUUCAUUAAUUAUAAUUAAAAUAAUUAAGUCUUUUUAUUAGUAAUAGUAUAAACCAUUCUUACAAACAACACGUUAUUUGUGAAUAGGUGGGUCAUAUGAAAAAUUUUAUUAAUCAAUUAUUUCGCAGGCACUUGAAUAAAAUACAAUAUCGGCGUUCAAUAAUCUAUUGUAUAGAAUAAUUAAGGUUUUUGACAUGUAAUUUCGAGCGGUUAAAAAGACUGGGAACUCUUUAUCGAUUUCAUCAUUAGCAUUGUUUCCAGUUUACAUUCCCUUUUCAUAAAUUCCUAAUAAAGAAGUUGACUUUUUACUCUUUAGUUAGUAUUUAUUAUUUAAAAGAAAAGAGAAUAUCUACUUAUUUCUUAUCGGUUUAUUCCGUAACAACGACAGUUUUAUAAUUCGAACUCGGAUUACAAAACCACGAAAUCUUAUACAAUAUACACAAUUUACUGUAUGGUUUAUGCAAUAUAUAUAUAUAUAUAUAUCCUUUGUGUAUUUAUUUUCCUCCAGGACAAUCAUGGCGUCAAGUGCCCUUCCAAAACUAGCGCCAGCAACAAAAACCUCCGCACAUCUCUAUGAAACUUAUCCUAGGCCACUGAAAACUGCUCCUGAGAUCCAAUUGCCAAGAGUAAAUCCAUUAAGACCAAUGCCACCUUUAAGGAGGACUGUAGCCCUUGAAACAAUGAUUCCUCAUUAUCAUAAUGAGCAAAGAGCAAAAUUAAUGCAAAGAAGAGAACAUCAUCGAUAUCACAAUGCGUGGGGGAGAUAUUAUUACGGUUCAAAUGCUGAUAAGGAGUCUUAUAGGUCGUAUGUGAGGAAUGUUCUUAAACAGCAAAUGGCCGAUAAAGAAAGAAACGUAAAAGAAGGUUUAAACUCAAAAAUUGAAGAAUCUGAAAAUGCUGUUAAAUACGAUCGACAAUGUUUAACUGAUGAUGCCAGAGAUGCUUACAGAAAAUUUGUCUAUUUAAAAGGCUUUACGGCCGAAAAUAAAAAGAUGAUGGAAGAUAGCUGGAGCGAUAGACGAAGAAUUAAAAGUCUCGAAAACGAACACGAUAGAGAGUUAUUAAAAUAUAAUCCAAUUAACUGGAGCUGUACGCUUAAAUAAUUGGAUGCAUGAUAUUUUUAUAUAUUGACGAAUAAUCAUCGGAGAUGAAGAAACAAUGAAUGACAAAAAAAGGAUGCUAUACAAUAGAAGAACUCAACAAAAUUUAUAUAUAUAUAUAAAAAAAACACUAAACUACAAAAGUAAACAAGAUAAAAACCGUAGUCCUUGUAUUCUUCCUCUGCUGUAUAUUUCAGUAUUAUGUUCGAGUGCCAACGAAGCGAAAAAAAAAUACUUUCUUUCCUAAAAUAUAUAAGAAAGAUCUUUUUUUCAUUUUUGUAUUAUUAAUUCAACUAUAUUAACUUUACAAGUAUUAUUUUAGAUAUUAAAUAGUCUCUAUACAAUGUAUACUAUAAUAUAAAGCAGUAUUAUUAAUAUAAAAAGAUAUAUCCAAUAGAUGGCAGUUAAAUGAAUAUCAACUUAAUAAUUAUGUAAAAACUAUGAAUAAGAUACUUUAAGAGGAUGAACAAAUGGGUAUCUAUUAUUUGUAUAUUUAAUUAAAGAGAGUAUAACUAUACUGUAUAGCAAUAACGAUAAUAAAUAAUUGUUAAAAUAAUGAAAGAACACGAUUACUUCUUUGUAUUUCUUAGACGAUUACAAACAAGAAGUAACCCCCAUUACCUUUUCAUUAUAUUUAAA